This is a long non-coding RNA of Bombina bombina (fire-bellied toad), 170 nucleotides long. RefSeq lists it as uncharacterized. The transcript is spliced from 4 exons. The record is from RefSeq and is a predicted model, not a curated record. Lineage: Eukaryota; Metazoa; Chordata; Amphibia; Anura; Bombinatoridae.
CUCCAUGACCAGGUCUCUCAUAGGAAACAAACGGGAAAACCUACUGUUAGAUCUUGGUUUCACAGAUCUACUGUUCUAGCUGGAAAGCUUUUGGUGCAUCCCGGGAUAAUUAUAACAACUUUAUAAGCCACGGUGACAUUAAAAAGGUUUUACCUUCGUUUGGAAUUCUC